UUUAAGGCUGAGACACGACGUCGAGCACCUACGGGUGUGAAGUCAUUGAUGCCAUGCUUCCAGGAAAAGCCUCUAAGCUUCAGAUUGUAAGGAAUCGUACCCCCAAACGACACAGGUGGUCGGGUAGAGAAUACCAAGGCGCUUGAGAGAACUCGGGUGAAGGAACUAGGCAAAAUGGUACCGUAACUUCGGGAGAAGGUACGCUCUUGAUGGUGAAGUCCCUUGCG
RNAcentral lists this ribosomal RNA (227 nucleotides) under Vibrio parahaemolyticus. RNAcentral describes it as "partial 23S ribosomal RNA". It matches the Rfam family "Bacterial large subunit ribosomal RNA", at positions 1549 to 1774 of the family's 2925-position model. The record is from RNAcentral. Lineage: Bacteria; Pseudomonadati; Pseudomonadota; Gammaproteobacteria; Vibrionales; Vibrionaceae.